Oncorhynchus tshawytscha (Chinook salmon) is the source of this 521-nucleotide long non-coding RNA. The record is from Ensembl. NCBI's taxonomy places the organism in Eukaryota, Metazoa, Chordata, Actinopteri, Salmoniformes, Salmonidae.
UGGUAGAGCACUGAACUGAGUUUUAACCAGAUGCUUUUAAUGGCAAAUGAUUUUAAACGAUAGGAGAUGAUGAAAUAUGUACGGUGCUGUUAUUAACUUAGAUAAACGAAUGACCUUUUACUGUCAUACGAUCAAAAGUCUUAAACUUCUGGAGAAGAAACCACCAGUUCAAAACGUUCAUCGGAUUAAAUACUAUAUUUUUCAUAAAUGUAUAUUUUUCAGUCAGACCACCUCGACAUAAACUCUGGUUGGUUUCAUAUGUUUUAAAAGCAUAUCAAAUAUUGUCUGUCUAUAAAGUUGGAAUGUAUUCAAUGUACUGUAUAGGCUACAGUGAUCUCCUAUGUAUGUUAUUGACAACUCUGAUCUUCUAAAUGACAAACGCUGUGGAAUUUGGUACAGUAUAUUAUCAUUGUCAAUAAUAACAACUCCACCUGAAAAACUGUGUUGGUCAUCUUGACCUUGUCUCCUUAUUUUAAAAACGAUUUUACCAAUAGAAGGUGUGUUAGGGCAAUAAUUUUCGC